GAUGAACGCUGGCGGCGUGCCUAAUACAUGCCAGUCGAGCGAACGGACGAGAAGCUUGCUUCUCUGAUGUUAGCGGCGGACGGGUGAGUAACACGUGGAUAACCUACCUAUAAGACUGGGAUAACUUCGGGAAACCGGAGCUAAUACCGGAUAAUAUUUUGAACCGCAUGGUUCAAAAGUGAAAGACGGUCUUGCUGUCACCUAUAGAUGGAUCCGCGCUGCAUUAGCUAGUUGGUAAGGUAACGGCUUACCAAGGCAACGAUGCAUAGCCGACCUGAGAGGGUGAUCGGCCACACUGGAACUGAGACACGGUCCAGACUCCUACGGGAGGCAGCAGUAGGGAAUCUUCCGCAAUGGGCGAAAGCCUGACGGAGCAACGCCGCGUGAGUGAUGAAGGUCUUCGGAUCGUAAAACUCUGUUAUUAGGGAAGAACAUAUGUGUAAGUAACUGUGCACAUCUUGACGGUACCUAAUCAGAAAGCCACGGCUAACUACGUG
RNAcentral lists this ribosomal RNA (497 nucleotides) under uncultured bacterium. RNAcentral describes it as "partial 16S ribosomal RNA". It matches the Rfam family "Bacterial small subunit ribosomal RNA", at positions 28 to 507 of the family's 1533-position model. The record is from RNAcentral.